Long non-coding RNA from Entelurus aequoreus (snake pipefish), 2653 nucleotides. RefSeq lists it as uncharacterized. NCBI's taxonomy places the organism in Eukaryota, Metazoa, Chordata, Actinopteri, Syngnathiformes, Syngnathidae. The transcript has 4 exons. The record is from RefSeq and is a predicted model, not a curated record.
CCCGCACUUGAUUAAGCCUCUUCCAUUAUUGUGCGCAGUUACGGUAAACAAAAAAUGCAGGGAAACAAGAACAUUCUGCAAUGAGAGGGCCGUCUGAGCGCAGGGCACAGGGAAGUUGAUGCUGUACCCACUGGAGUCACGCCACUCCUCCACUGAUGGCUCUGGACAAUCUGCACGAACGGAGAAAAAAAGAAAGACUUUAAUUCCUAGAAAGAAAAGUGUUGAGACUGACCCCAAAGCAGCUUCCUGAUCUGCCCAUCCUCCAGCUGAAGCGCCACAGUGUGUGUCCGGCAGCAGUGGACCAGACUGACCACGACGCCGUCCACUUCCAGCUGACACCUGCAGCGUCAAAACAAAGUCAGUGGAUGAAAAUCUGAUGUUUUUGCUUGCAGCAGGUGUUCUGGUCUGGGACCUGACUGCAAGUGUGUCCGCGGCUUCCUGGGCGGGGCGCAGCAUCAUCAGGUUGGAGGAGGUGGGCAGCGGACCGCGGCCGGCGGCCACAAACAGAUCGUCCUGCAGCCAGAGCAGAUGCCGCAGAGACAGCGGCGCCUCCUGGUGGACGGCAGCUCUGCAAAAAAUGCAGUGAAUGUCGCCAGCUGAUUGGUCCCCUCAGGCCGGCAGAGGAACGUCACCUGGUUGACCGCUGAGCUCAGCUGCACCUCAAAGGAACACAUGGGAGGAGGGACCACAGUCUGCCUGAAGGUGGUCACCAGGACCUUAUCUGGAGGAGGGUUAGAACUAUCAACCUUUCCUCCGCUUCCUCUCAUCCCAUUGGUUCUCACCUCCAUCAAUUACAGCCACGUUGGCGUUAUCCGUAGCAUCCAGCCCCGGGCUCCUCUCUGUCGUCCAACCCCAGUCGUAGGUGAGGCUGCCCCAGUCACGAGUCACCAAAUGGAGCCGCAGGGGCCGCUCGGGGUCCCAGCACACGCACGCCGGAGCUUUUUGGGGGUCUUUGCCAAAGUCCAAGCUCUGCUUAAGGUACCAGUGGUAGUUACCCACCGUCCACAGCUGGACUGCCGGAAGAAGACAGACAUUAGUCGCUUUUUGUCUUCUGCACCGGACACUGGACUGGACUCACCACAAGUGUUGACGUGUCCGUGCUCCCCCGCUGUCAAAUCCUCUAACCAGAUUGCAAGGACAGUGGAGUCAUUGUUCCACAGCAGCUCCUUCACCUGCAAGAAAAAUAUCAUCAUCAUGGAUCUUGAAUUGUCAUUAUUAAGAAGCACAGUUGACAUGAAUCUGACAGGUGUGAAAGUUAGCAUUAGCACACAAGAGGCAAGAAGGAUCCGGCGCCUUGAAUGUUAUGCAAUAUCUAUUGAUGGGUGCUCACGCCCACUGGAAUAGGCUCCGCCCCCCUGACCCUAAACCGGUUAGGUGGUCUCGAAGUCAACCUGCCUUGGCCUGGUCUUUGUUGAGUGGCAGCGUGAAGUCUCCGUGCAGCAGGCCGUUCUUUUCCAUGAAGACCACACUGUGCUUGUUGGGGUGGCGCUGGGUGCUCGCCAUCAGGCUGCCGGAGGGUCUGAAACAUGGAGACUCCUUCACAUGGGUUGACUGGGAACAGUCCAGGAGGGCGAUCCUCACACGUCUGCUAAUAUAAUGCCACCUCAACUUAAAACCUCUAAAGGCUUAGUGGCCACAUGCGUGGACAGCACCUUUUAGCUCUUAUUUCCAAAAUUGUGUACACUACUGAAUUGGGGUCUUAUGGCCACUUAUGUGGACAGUUAUACUGCCAUCUGUUGGUGUCAGAAGAGUAUAACAUACAAUGGAUUUUGGGAAAAAAAGUGUAAAAAUAAGAAUUAGCAUGUCACUAAACAUGAAGUACACGUUUGUGUACUUAUGGACUAAGUACAUCAUAUCAAAAGAUAAUUCUUAGUUUUUAUUCCAAUAAGCCCAAAUAGCAAAGAGAAAUUAAAAAAAACAUGUAAACAAACAGCUCGGGCCUUAAGAGGUUUUAAAAGGGGAACUGCUUUUGCUUAUCGUUCACAAUGCUCAUGAGAGACCAGAAGACAAAAAGCUUCUUUUUUUUUGCAUUAUAAAAAAUCUCGUUCUAGGUGGUAAGCAAUGCAGCUAAUAGGAGCAAUCAAUUCUGCCUCUAAGUCACUUUAAAAAUGCAUUCAAAAACAGUGAACAAUCCUUCAUUUACGUUCUGUAACCUAAGCUGUUGUGACAUUGUUAUUGUUUAAGCUAACCCGGAGGAACACUUUUUCUAGUGUAGUAACACAUUGUCUUAUGACAGCAUGCUAUUAUUUACCAUGAAUUGAUUAACGUGGACCCCUACUUAAACAAGUUGAAAAACUUAUUGGGGUGUUACCAUUUAGUGGUCAAUUGUACAGAAUAUGUAAUGUACUGUGCAAUCUACUAAUAAAAGUUUCAAUCAAUCAAUGCGACGGUGUUAGCUGUAAGCGCGCUACUGCGUGAACAGCUAAAUAGCUUUUGAGUUUGUAAUGCACAACAAUGCGAUAGGACACCACUCUGUACACUGCAAAAAGUCAGUGUUCAAAAACAAGAAAAAAAAAUACCAAAAUUAGGUGUAUUUUAUUCGAACUAAGCAAAAUUAUCUGCCAAUAGAACAAGAAAAUUCAGCUUGUCAAGACUUUCCAAAACAUGCAAAAUUAGCUAACCUCAAUUAACCCAAAAAUGCCUUAAAAUAAGU